AGAGUUUGAUCCUGGCUCAGGACGAACGCUGGCGGCGUGCCUAAUACAUGCAAGUAGAACGCUGAAGAGAGGAGCUUGCUCUUCUUGGAUGAGUUGCGAGCGGGUGAGUAACGCGUAGGUAACCUGCCUUGUAGCGGGGGAUAACUAUUGGAAACGAUAGCUAAUACCGCAUAACAAUGGAUGACACACGUCAUUUAUUUGAAAGGGGCAAUUGUUCCACUACAAGAUGGACCUGCGUUGUAUUAGCUAGUAGGUGAGGUAAUGGCUCACCUAGGCGACGAUACAUAGCCGACCUGAGAGGGUGAUCGGCCACACUGGGACUGAGACACGGCCCAGACUCCUACGGGAGGCAGCAGUAGGGAAUCUUCGGCAAUGGGGGCAACCCUGACCGAGCAACGCCGCGUGAGUGAAGAAGGUUUUCGGAUCGUAAAGCUCUGUUGUAAGUCAAGAACGGGUGUGAGAGUGGAAAGUUCACACUGUGACGGUAGCUUACCAGAAAGGGACGGCUAACUACGUGCCAGCAGCCGCGGUAAUACGUAGGUCCCGAGCGUUGUCCGGAUUUAUUGGGCGUAAAGCGAGCGCAGGCGGUCUGAUAAGUCUGAAGUUAAAGGCUGUGGCUCAACCAUAGUUCGCUUUGGAAACUGUCAAACUUGAGUGCAGAAGGGGAGAGUGGAAUUCCAUGUGUAGCGGUGAAAUGCGUAGAUAUAUGGAGGAACACCGGUGGCGAAAGCGGCUCUCUGGUCUGUAACUGACGCUGAGGCUCGAAAGCGUGGGGAGCGAACAGGAUUAGAUACCCUGGUAGUCCACGCCGUAAACGAUGAGUGCUAGGUGUUGGAUCCUUUCCGGGAUUCAGUGCCGCAGCUAACGCAUUAAGCACUCCGCCUGGGGAGUACGACCGCAAGGUUGAAACUCAAAGGAAUUGACGGGGGCCCGCACAAGCGGUGGAGCAUGUGGUUUAAUUCGAAGCAACGCGAAGAACCUUACCAGGUCUUGACAUCCCGAUGCUAUUUCUAGAGAUAGAAAGUUACUUCGGUACAUCGGUGACAGGUGGUGCAUGGUUGUCGUCAGCUCGUGUCGUGAGAUGUUGGGUUAAGUCCCGCAACGAGCGCAACCCCUAUUGUUAGUUGCCAUCAUUCAGUUGGGCACUCUAGCGAGACUGCCGGUAAUAAACCGGAGGAAGGUGGGGAUGACGUCAAAUCAUCAUGCCCCUUAUGACCUGGGCUACACACGUGCUACAAUGGUUGGUACAACGAGUUGCGAGUCGGUGACGGCGAGCUAAUCUCUUAAAGCCAAUCUCAGUUCGGAUUGUAGGCUGCAACUCGCCUACAUGAAGUCGGAAUCGCUAGUAAUCGCGGAUCAGCACGCCGCGGUGAAUACGUUCCCGGGCCUUGUACACACCGCCCGUCACACCACGAGAGUUUGUAACACCCGAAGUCGGUGAGGUAACCUUUUGGAGCCAGCCGCCUAAGGUGGGACAGAUGAUUGGGGUGAAGUCGUAACAAGGUA
Molecule: ribosomal RNA, 1506 nt
Filed under: metagenome
Description: bacterial SSU rRNA
Rfam family: Bacterial small subunit ribosomal RNA
Source: RNAcentral